UGUUUGAGGUUAGAAUGAUGUGCGGUAUACAAAUAUAUGUUUUUUUCUCUUGUUAGUUUGUUGACUUUCAAAAUUACCCUUGCACCUUCAGGAUGACGGCUCGCACUUUCGCAUUUGCUCUCUUCAAGCACUCGAAAAUGAGGUGAAUGAUUUGAAGAAAGAUGCUCGUGACGAGGUCAAGACCCCCUUGAAACUGCAAUUAAAGAUUCAACAAAUGAGUGAGGAGAUCAAAGGGCUCAAGAAAUUAGUCAAGGGUUAUCCUUAAUUUCUUGUGUUAGAUUCCCUAAAUCUGUUUUGAACUUGGUGGUGCUCUCGUGUUUAUCUCUUGUGUUCUAAAAUUAUAUAUUGCUAUGUGUUUCCGUUAGCUAGGUUGUUAUGUUUUACCAGUACUACACCUUCAAAUAAGAAACAUCAGAGUUAGUUAUACAUCAACAAACAACAAACAACAAACAAUAUAAGUUUAAACAUAAAACAACAACGAGAUAUAGCAGUAGUUAAGACUUUUUCACCAUAUUUCAACAACCAACAAUAGCGAGUUUACAACCAGCACUACAAUAAAUAUGAGUAUUGGUAGCAGUUCGCGGUAGCACGAAUUUACCAACUGCUACCAAUAGUGCCAAGAUCGGAUCACAAUUCUAUUGUAACACUAAAUCUGCGCUAAGAUAGAAUUUCAUUAAACGAGAAAGCAAAAUUCAGGGAUUUCAUUUACAGUAACACUUUUGUGUGAAAAUUUUAGUUUUGUCCGCCAAACACUUUACAGUAACAUUUACAGGGAUUUAGCUCACGAUUAACGCUACAAUAUCUUUAUCUAACAUAGCCACAAAAAACGCUACGAUAGGGAAGGUCUAUUAUAGAUGCGGCUGUCACGUCGUUCUUCGAAACGCUAUGAAAACGAUAUGGUAGCACAUUCUCGACGCUACUAAUACCUAUAUUUCUUGUAGUGCAGGUACAAAGAUCUCAUUUUUCCUUCUUAGACCUACUCAUUGGCUUGUUCAGGUUGUCAUCCAGUGUGCACACCGUCCUUUUAACCCCCUUUCCUUUUUUCUCCUUCUCUUUCACAUCCUGAGGUGAGUCCUCAAGUGAGUCUUCACCUACUUUCUCAACAUAAGCUUCCAAUGCAGUGAAUAUCAUGUCUAACGCCUCCAUCUUUUUCUUCCAAUGCAGCGACUCUCGUUUUUCUAACGCCUUCGUCCACUCUCUCAUUUCUUCUUCCCUAGCAUUAACUAGUUCUCCCAAUUCAAUUAAUGAGAUCUCUAAGCUAUUGAGCGGAGUGCUGAAAUCCUGCAACAGUCAUACAGUGGGAAGAAAAAUACAAAUCAUACUACUUUUAGUCCAAUUACUCACUAAACA
RNAcentral lists this long non-coding RNA (1350 nucleotides) under Brassica napus (rape). Its description in RNAcentral is "long non-coding RNA (BNAP_LNC024657)". Lineage: Eukaryota; Viridiplantae; Streptophyta; Magnoliopsida; Brassicales; Brassicaceae. The record is from RNAcentral.